GACGAACGCUGGCGGCGCGCCUAACACAUGCAAGUCGAACGAAGAAAAGCUUUCGGGUUUUUCUUAGUGGCGGACGGGUGAGUAACACGUGAGCAACCUGCCUUUCAGAGGGGGAUAACAGUUGGAAACGACUGCUAAUACCGCAUAAGAUUGUAGCUUCGCAUGGAGCAGCAAUCAAAGGAGCGAUCCGCUGAAAGAUGGGCUCGCGGCCGAUUAGGUAGUUGGUGAGGUAAUGGCCCACCAAGCCCGCGAUCGGUAGCCGGACUGAGAGGUUGAUCGGCCACAUUGGGACUGAGACACGGCCCAGACUCCUACGGGAGGCAGCAGUGGGGAAUAUUGGGCAAUGGGGGAAACCCUGACCCAGCGACGCCGCGUGAGGGAAGAAGGUCUUCGGAUUGUAAACCUCUGUCUUCAGGGACGAACAAAUGACGGUACCUGAGGAGGAAGCCACGGCUAACUACGUG
RNAcentral lists this ribosomal RNA (464 nucleotides) under uncultured organism. Its description in RNAcentral is "bacterial SSU rRNA". It matches the Rfam family "Bacterial small subunit ribosomal RNA", at positions 28 to 507 of the family's 1533-position model. The record is from RNAcentral.